Molecule: small nuclear RNA, 141 nt
Organism: Neogale vison (American mink)
Lineage: Eukaryota; Metazoa; Chordata; Mammalia; Carnivora; Mustelidae
Product: U4 spliceosomal RNA
Exons: 1
Source: RefSeq, a predicted model, not a curated record
AGCUUUGCGCAGUGGCAGUAUUGUAGCCAAUGAGGUUUAUCCGAGGCGCGAUUAUUGCUAAUUGUCAUAGACCAUCUACAAAUUGACAUUUUCAAGCUGGUUUUGGUUAACUUACUUAAUGUUGGAAACUGGAACUUUCCA